Molecule: ribosomal RNA, 310 nt
Filed under: uncultured eukaryote
Lineage: Eukaryota
Description: partial 18S ribosomal RNA
Rfam family: Eukaryotic small subunit ribosomal RNA
Source: RNAcentral
CCCUUAGAUGUUCUGGGCGGCCCGCGCACUACAAUGGCGCUUUCAGCGAGUUCCUAUGUUGAAUUUUCCUUGGUAUUCUUGGAAGCGGCGUCUUGACUUGGGAUAGAUCCUUGUAAUUGUUGGUUUUGAACGAGGAAUUCCUUGUAAUCGCGGUUGAUCAGCUCGCGUUGAAUACGUCCCUGCCCUUUGUACGCACCGCCCGUCGCUCCUACCGAUGAAUCGUCCGGUGAAGUUCACAGAGUGGCGGUUCGUGGAGUUGCUCGCGAAGUGAAAUGGACCUCACGAUUUAGAGGAAGGAGAAGUCGUAACA